UUGCAAGCAGCCGCGGUAAGACAGAGGGGGCAAGCGUUGUCCGGACUGACUGGGCGUAAAGCGCGCGCAGGCGGACGCGGGCGUCGGUGCGGAAAGGUCGCCGCUUAACGGCGGAGAGCGUACCGAUACGCCGCGUCUGGAGCGCGGGCGAGGGUGGUGGAAUUGCCGGUGUAGUGGUGAAAUGCGUAGAGAUCGGCAGGAACACCCGUGGCGCAAGCGGCCACCUAGCCCGUUGCUGACGCUGAGGCGCGACAGCGUGGGGAGCGAACUGGAUUAGAUACCCUUGUAGUCC
Molecule: ribosomal RNA, 292 nt
Filed under: uncultured bacterium
Lineage: Bacteria
Description: partial 16S ribosomal RNA
Rfam family: Bacterial small subunit ribosomal RNA
Source: RNAcentral